This 466-nucleotide ribosomal RNA is filed under the name uncultured bacterium. RNAcentral describes it as "partial 16S ribosomal RNA". It matches the Rfam family "Bacterial small subunit ribosomal RNA", at positions 28 to 507 of the family's 1533-position model. The record is from RNAcentral.
GAUGAACGCUGGCGGCGUGCUUAACACAUGCAAGUCGAACGAUGAAGCCCAGCUUGCUGGGUGGAUUAGUGGCGAACGGGUGAGUAACACGUGAGUAACCUGCCCUUAACUCUGGGAUAAGCCUGGUAAACUGGGUCUAAUACCGGAUAGGAGCGUCCACCGCAUGGUGGGUGUUGGAAAGAUUUAUCGGUUUUGGAUGGACUCGCGGCCUAUCAGCUUGUUGGUGGGGUAAUGGCUCACCAAGGCGACGACGGGUAGCCGGCCUGAGAGGGUGACCGGCCACACUGGGACUGAGACACGGACCAGACUCCUACGGGAGGCAGCAGUGGGGACUAUUGCACAAUGGGCGCAAGCCUGAUGCAGCGACGCCGCGUGAGGGAUGACGGCCUUCGGGUUGUAAACCUCUUUCAGUAGGGAAGAAGCGAAAGUGACGGUACCUGCAGAAGAAGCACCGGCUAACUACGUG